This 372-nucleotide ribosomal RNA is filed under the name uncultured organism. RNAcentral describes it as "partial 16S ribosomal RNA". It matches the Rfam family "Bacterial small subunit ribosomal RNA", at positions 527 to 896 of the family's 1533-position model. The record is from RNAcentral.
GUGAGGUGCAAACGUUACCCGGAAUCAUUGGGCGUAAAGCGUCCGCAGGCGGUUAAACAAGUAAGAUGUUAAAUCUUGAGGCUCAACUUCAAGUGUGUAUCUUAAACUGUUUAACUAGAGUAUUGGAGAGGUGAGUGGAAUUCUGUAUGUAGGGGUAAAAUCCGUAGAUAUACAGAGGAACACCAAAAGCGAAGGCAGCUCACUGGCCAAUUACUGACGCUCAGGGACGAAAGCGUGGGGAGCAAACGGGAUUAGAUACCCCGGUGGUCCACGCCGUAAACGAUGAUCACUCGAUGUUGGGAGUUCGACCCCUCUCAGUGUCCCAAGCUAACGCGAUAAGUGAUCCGCCUGGGGAGUACGGUCGCAAGAUUA